UGGACUGAAAAACAUUGAAGAGCCCACAACUAAACCAUCAGUCUGCUCCACCCAGAAAGAAGAUGGUCAGCUGCUCCUUGGACCGGCGCCUCUGUGUCUGUUGGACGUCUGCUGUCCUGUUAAAGACUCGCUCGGCAGCAGUAGAUGGGCGCUGACAUGGAGCCGGGUUCUUCUGGAGGAUCAUUCCUGCUUAAAGCUAGUUUUCCUCUCUACUGUCACCACUUCAUUGCUCAGGAGGAGGGACUGCUGCAUUCAUGACUGGAUGUGAUUGGCUGAGCUUCCCUGGAUUGAAUAUGUUUCUUUAAGCGCCAUAAUACACUAAAUUUAUCUUCAUCAUAUUGUAAAUAGGAUCUAACUGGAUGUUUAUAAAUUAAUUUAAUUCUGUUUGUGUUGAAUUCUGUUACAUGUUUCUGUUUUAAAGCUCUCAUGUAAAUUGCCUUGAUAUGACAUUAGCUGUGAUUUGUUUUUAUUUUAAAAGACUGAAUUAUAUCAAAUCUUGCCUAAUGAGUCUGGUUCUCUCUGGUUCUUCCUGUCAUUCUAUCUUCACCUGUUAUUUAUUAUCACUAUAAUAAAGGUUUGAUUUUUGUUAA
Long non-coding RNA from Cyprinodon tularosa, 590 nucleotides. RefSeq lists it as uncharacterized. NCBI's taxonomy places the organism in Eukaryota, Metazoa, Chordata, Actinopteri, Cyprinodontiformes, Cyprinodontidae. The transcript has 2 exons. The record is from RefSeq and is a predicted model, not a curated record.